Molecule: long non-coding RNA, 314 nt
Filed under: Brassica napus (rape)
Lineage: Eukaryota; Viridiplantae; Streptophyta; Magnoliopsida; Brassicales; Brassicaceae
Description: long non-coding RNA (BNAP_LNC010709)
Source: RNAcentral
GACCAGCCAUAACGACAAUCUGUGAAGUUGAGAUUCCUAUACACCAACAAAGAAGUAAAAUUAAAUUGGAACAAUCAAAAGCAAAGACAUUCGGUUAUGUCGAAGGGAGAUAACAGUGUACCUAAGGUGCUGUUGCUACUGGUCGCCUGAGCUUUACCACUAAAACUUCCAUCAGAGCCGCGCAAACCGCUAUUAGUUUCCAACAUAUUCAGAUCUGGUGGAUGCAUUUCGCCGACCAGCUGUUCUUGUACUAGGGUUUCUUAAUAUUAUCCAUCAGACUUGGUUAUUUCUCACAGUUAUCAAUUAACCCCGUC